CCUACCGGCGGCAGCAGUGGGGAAUAUUGGACAAUGGGGGGAACCCUGAUCCAGCCAUGCCGCGUGUGUGAAGAAGGCCCUCGGGUUGUAAAGCACUUUCAGUGAGGAAGAACGCCUGGUGGUUAAUACCCAUCAGGAAAGACAUCACUCACAGAAGAAGCACCGGCUAACUCCGUGCCAGCAGCCGCGGUAAUACGGAGGGUGCGAGCGUUAAUCGGAAUUACUGGGCGUAAAGCGCGCGUAGGUGGCUUGAUAAGCCGGUUGUGAAAGCCCCGGGCUCAACCUGGGAACGGCAUCCGGAACUGUCAAGCUAGAGUGCAGGAGAGGAAGGUAGAAUUCCCGGUGUAGCGGUGAAAUGCGUAGAGAUCGGGAGGAAUACCAGUGGCGAAGGCGGCCUUCUGGACUGACACUGACACUGAGGUGCGAAAGCGUGGGUAGCAAACAGGAUUAGAUACCCCAGUAGUC
This 465-nucleotide ribosomal RNA is filed under the name Vreelandella stevensii. Its description in RNAcentral is "partial 16S ribosomal RNA". It matches the Rfam family "Bacterial small subunit ribosomal RNA", at positions 338 to 795 of the family's 1533-position model. The record is from RNAcentral. Lineage: Bacteria; Pseudomonadati; Pseudomonadota; Gammaproteobacteria; Oceanospirillales; Halomonadaceae.